UUUUGAGAUCGAGAAAGAGGGCAAGCGAUGUCGAAGAAGAACAAUCUCAAAACGAGGAAGAGGCAGCACGAUUUCGAGCUCAAGAGAGAGAAGGAGGAGAAAGAGAAAAGGGCGCAGAAGCUUCAAGCAAAGAAGUCCAAGAUGAAGGUCGAUGGCAGUGAAAAGAAGAAGAAGAAUUCGGGUGGGUUUCAGGUUGGGAAAAGAAAGCUGAAGACCAAAUUGUCGGCAUUGGCAAAAGCUAAAGCAGCACAAGCGAUGGAGGUAGAUAAUUAAGUGUCAGGUUACUUUUGUAUUUUUAGGCAUAUGCAAAACCAUGGUUGUCUGUUAUGAUAUAUUAAUCUUGAUGGUACUCUUAUAAUGACCUGGUUAAG
RNAcentral lists this unclassified non-coding RNA (371 nucleotides) under Hevea brasiliensis (rubber tree). Lineage: Eukaryota; Viridiplantae; Streptophyta; Magnoliopsida; Malpighiales; Euphorbiaceae. The record is from RNAcentral.